This 548-nucleotide ribosomal RNA is filed under the name Tritia incrassata. RNAcentral's name for it is "partial 12S ribosomal RNA". It matches the Rfam family "Bacterial small subunit ribosomal RNA", at positions 519 to 1376 of the family's 1533-position model. The record is from RNAcentral. Lineage: Eukaryota; Metazoa; Mollusca; Gastropoda; Neogastropoda; Nassariidae.
GGUUAUACCAAGUGAUUAAGUUAUAUAUUUAGGUAAAAAGACAGUUAGGCCUAGGAUCAGACUUAGUCUAUUAAUCACCUAUAAAAAGGUAAAAUUUGUAUAUAGGUAGCUAAUCUAAAAAUGGCUAUGAAGCGCUGAAGCUGUGACAGUCUUGAGGGAAACUGGGAUUAGAUACCCCAUUAUUCUUGACUGUAAAUAUAAUUAAAUUUACCAGAGUACUAUGAAUAGUUAAAAAUUUAAAACUCAAAGGGCUUGGCGGUGUUUUAGACCUAUCAGGGGAACCUGUCUCGUAAUCGACAAUCCACGUUACAUCUAACCUCAUUUUGUAUUCAGUUUGUAUACCGUCGUCGUCAGGUAACUUUUAAAAAUAUAGGAGUUAGCAGUAGAAAUUACGUAAAUUAAGACGUCAGAUCAAGGUGCAGCCUAUAGUGAGGAGAGGAUGGGUUACAAUUAUUAAAUUUAUAACUACGGAAAUUUAAAUGAAACCAUAUUUAGAAGGAGGACUUGAAAGUAAACUAAAAUAUAUAAGUAGUUUGAAUAAGGCUCUG